This is a non-coding RNA of Coriobacteriaceae bacterium CHKCI002, 144 nucleotides long. NCBI's taxonomy places the organism in Bacteria, Bacillati, Actinomycetota, Coriobacteriia, Coriobacteriales, Coriobacteriaceae. The record is from Rfam.
UGCAGGAUUGUUCCGCUGCCCAAGACAGCAGGUACCGAUGAGGUUUAAUCGCGAAGGAUCGCGGCCCGCCGAGGUGGUUGCAAAGUUUCGCGCUUUGGCGACCCUCGCUGUCUUUGCGGACGGCGAGGGUCGUUCCUUUUCUCA